UUUAAAUUGAGAGUUUGAUCCUGGCUCAGGAUGAACGCUGGUGGCGUGCCUAAUACAUGCAAGUCGUACGCUAGCCGCUGAAUUGAUCCUUCGGGUGAAGUGAGGCAAUGACUAGAGUGGCGAACUGGUGAGUAACACGUAAGAAACCUGCCCUUUAGUGGGGGAUAACAUUUGGAAACAGAUGCUAAUACCGCGUAACAACAAAUCACACAUGUGAUCUGUUUGAAAGGUCCUUUUGGAUCGCUAGAGGAUGGUCUUGCGGCGUAUUAGCUUGUUGGUAGGGUAGAAGCCUACCAAGGCAAUGAUGCGUAGCCGAGUUGAGAGACUGGCCGGCCACAUUGGGACUGAGACACUGCCCAAACUCCUACGGGAGGCUGCAGUAGGGAAUUUUCCGCAAUGCACGAAAGUGUGACGGAGCGACGCCGCGUGUGUGAUGAAGGCUUUCGGGUCGUAAAGCACUGUUGUAAGGGAAGAAUAACUGAAUUCAGAGAAAGUUUUCAGCUUGACGGUACCUUACCAGAAAGGGAUGGCUAAAUACGUGCCAGCAGCCGCGGUAAUACGUAUGUCCCGAGCGUUAUCCGGAUUUAUUGGGCGUAAAGCGAGCGCAGACGGUUUAUUAAGUCUGAUGUGAAAUCCCGAGGCCCAACCUCGGAACUGCAUUGGAAACUGAUUUACUUGAGUGCGAUAGAGGCAAGUGGAACUCCAUGUGUAGCGGUGAAAUGCGUAGAUAUGUGGAAGAACACCAGUGGCGAAAGCGGCUUGCUAGAUCGUAACUGACGUUGAGGCUCGAAAGUAUGGGUAGCAAACGGGAUUAGAUACCCCGGU
RNAcentral lists this ribosomal RNA (825 nucleotides) under Oenococcus oeni. Its description in RNAcentral is "bacterial SSU rRNA". It matches the Rfam family "Bacterial small subunit ribosomal RNA", at positions 1 to 791 of the family's 1533-position model. The record is from RNAcentral. Lineage: Bacteria; Bacillati; Bacillota; Bacilli; Lactobacillales; Lactobacillaceae.